GGAGCUUGCUCCUUUGACGUUAGCGGCGGACGGGUGAGUAACACGUGGGCAACCUACCCUAUAGUUGGGAUAACUCCGGGAAACCGGGGCUAAUACCGAAUAAUNUAUNUCACCUCAUGGUGACAUACUGAAAGACGGUUUNGGCUGUCGCUAUAGGAUGGGCCCGCGGCGCAUUAGCUAGUUGGUGAGGUAAUGGCUCACCAAGGCGACGAUGCGUAGCCGACCUGAGAGGGUGAUCGGCCACACUGGGACUGAGACACGGCCCAGACUCCUACGGGAGGCAGCAGUAGGGAAUCUUCCACAAUGGGCGAAAGCCUGAUGGAGCAACGCCGCGUGAGUGAAGAAGGAUUUCGGAUCGUAAAACUCUGUUGUAAGGGAAGAACAAGUACAGUAGUAACUGGCUGUACCUUGACGGUACCUUAUUAGAAAGCCACGGCUAAACUACGUGCCAGCAGCCGCGGUAAUACGUAGGUGGCAAGCGUUGUCCGGAAUUAUUGGGCGUAAAAGCGCGCGCAGG
This 517-nucleotide ribosomal RNA is filed under the name marine bacterium SIMO IS-S74-233. Its description in RNAcentral is "bacterial SSU rRNA". It matches the Rfam family "Bacterial small subunit ribosomal RNA", at positions 75 to 575 of the family's 1533-position model. The record is from RNAcentral. Lineage: Bacteria; Bacillati; Bacillota; Bacilli; Caryophanales; Bacillaceae.